AGUUGGUGAUGAAAUCCCAUUGGUCCGUGUUUCUGAAUCAUAUGAUUUGCCUUGGCUAUUCUGAUACU
Molecule: small nucleolar RNA, 68 nt
Organism: Meriones unguiculatus (Mongolian gerbil)
Lineage: Eukaryota; Metazoa; Chordata; Mammalia; Rodentia; Muridae
Gene: SNORD18
Rfam family: Small nucleolar RNA SNORD18
About the family: U18 is a member of the C/D class of snoRNA which contain the C (UGAUGA) and D (CUGA) box motifs. It is encoded in introns of ribosomal protein L1 in Xenopus and human, and in introns of elongation factor 1 beta in yeast. Related snoRNAs in Arabidopsis and rice have been named R63 and Z106 respectively.
Source: Ensembl